This 1631-nucleotide ribosomal RNA is filed under the name Escherichia coli. RNAcentral describes it as "partial 23S ribosomal RNA". It matches the Rfam family "Bacterial large subunit ribosomal RNA", at positions 1292 to 2901 of the family's 2925-position model. The record is from RNAcentral. Lineage: Bacteria; Pseudomonadati; Pseudomonadota; Gammaproteobacteria; Enterobacterales; Enterobacteriaceae.
GAAUGCUGACAUAAGUAACGAUAAAGCGGGUGAAAAGCCCGCUCGCCGGAAGACCAAGGGUUCCUGUCCAACGUUAAUCGGGGCAGGGUGAGUCGACCCCUAAGGCGAGGCCGAAAGGCGUAGUCGAUGGGAAACAGGUUAAUAUUCCUGUACUUGGUGUUACUGCGAAGGGGGGACGGAGAAGGCUAUGUUGGCCGGGCGACGGUUGUCCCGGUUUAAGCGUGUAGGCUGGUUUUCCAGGCAAAUCCGGAAAAUCAAGGCUGAGGCGUGAUGACGAGGCACUACGGUGCUGAAGCGACAAAUGCCCUGCUUCCAGGAAAAGCCUCUAAGCAUCAGGUAACAUCAAAUCGUACCCCAAACCGACACAGGUGGUCAGGUAGAGAAUACCAAGGCGCUUGAGAGAACUCGGGUGAAGGAACUAGGCAAAAUGGUGCCGUAACUUCGGGAGAAGGCACGCUGAUAUGUAGGUGAAGCGACUUGCUCGUGGAGCUGAAAUCAGUCGAAGAUACCAGCUGGCUGCAACUGUUUAUUAAAAACACAGCACUGUGCAAACACGAAAGUGGACGUAUACGGUGUGACGCCUGCCCGGUGCCGGAAGGUUAAUUGAUGGGGUUAGCGGUAACGCGAAGCUCUUGAUCGAAGCCCCGGUAAACGGCGGCCGUAACUAUAACGGUCCUAAGGUAGCGAAAUUCCUUGUCGGGUAAGUUCCGACCUGCACGAAUGGCGUAAUGAUGGCCAGGCUGUCUCCACCCGAGACUCAGUGAAAUUGAACUCGCUGUGAAGAUGCAGUGUACCCGCGGCAAGACGGAAAGACCCCGUGAACCUUUACUAUAGCUUGACACUGAACAUUGAGCCUUGAUGUGUAGGAUAGGUGGGAGGCUUUGAAGUGUGGACGCCAGUCUGCAUGGAGCCGACCUUGAAAUACCACCCUUUAAUGUUUGAUGUUCUAACGUGGGCCCCUUACCGGGGUUGCGGACAGUGUCUGGUGGGUAGUUUGACUGGGGCGGUCUCCUCCUAAAGAGUAACGGAGGAGCACGAAGGUUGGCUAAUCCUGGUCGGACAUCAGGAGGUUAGUGCAAUGGCAUAAGCCAGCUUGACUGCGAGCGUGACGGCGCGAGCAGGUGCGAAAGCAGGUCAUAGUGAUCCGGUGGUUCUGAAUGGAAGGGCCAUCGCUCAACGGAUAAAAGGUACUCCGGGGAUAACAGGCUGAUACCGCCCAAGAGUUCAUAUCGACGGCGGUGUUUGGCACCUCGAUGUCGGCUCAUCACAUCCUGGGGCUGAAGUAGGUCCCAAGGGUAUGGCUGUUCGCCAUUUAAAGUGGUACGCGAGCUGGGUUUAGAACGUCGUGAGACAGUUCGGUCCCUAUCUGCCGUGGGCGCUGGAGAACUGAGGGGGGCUGCUCCUAGUACGAGAGGACCGGAGUGGACGCAUCACUGGUGUUCGGGUUGUCAUGCCAAUGGCACUGCCCGGUAGCUAAAUGCGGAAGAGAUAAGUGCUGAAAGCAUCUAAGCACGAAACUUGCCCCGAGAUGAGUUCUCCCUGACUCCUUGAGAGUCCUGAAGGAACGUUGAAGACGACGACGUUGAUAGGCCGGGUGUGUAAGCGCAGCGAUGCGUUGAGCUAACCGGUAC